UAAAUGAAAUUUAUGCUUAUGAUUAUUAUAUUUCUAAUAAUUACUAAGUAUUUUUAAAAUUGAAGACAUUAUAUGGUUGGUAAAUUAAUGUGUUUAGUUGGUAGGUAAUUAAUUAAUGAGUAUAGUUGGCAAGUAGAUUGGUGAAUUAAAGUAUGUUUGGUAGGUAACAGAUAGGAAGUAUUGGAUGAAUUAAAUAUUUUUCUUGAAAACCUAAAUAAAUAAGUUAUGUUUGUCUAUAAAUAAAGAAGAAGAUUCGAAAAGUUGUGAAAACAAAUGAAAAUAUUACAUAUGAGGAAAAUAUUUCUAGUAUUGGAGUGUAAGAGAAGUUGUUAUAUACGGAGGUGCAAUCCUAUCAAUAAUGUUCUGAAGACCGACUCAUACAAAUUUGUCAUUUACAGGAAUAAAUAUGUCAUCAAAAAAGAGUUCAAAGACACAAAAUUGUGGUCUGUGAAGGGUCUAGCCGGACCAGCCUAGGCGGAUCUAAACCAAACCGGUUUAACGGGGAGGCUCAGAACAAAAUAGUUUUCCGCCCGUUUAAUAUUUGAUUUGAUAUUUUGUAAGAGAAAAAAAAAAAAUAGUUGGUGUGAUUGUUUUGAAAAGUUGAAUAGUACCAAAGUCUCCAAAAUUGUAGUGUAAACAAUUUUGUUUACAAUAUGCUUGGAGGUUAUAUGUGAUGUAAUUAUCAGGGUAUUUUGGGUAGAGGUUCUAAAGCU
Long non-coding RNA from Andrographis paniculata, 713 nucleotides. RefSeq lists it as uncharacterized. NCBI's taxonomy places the organism in Eukaryota, Viridiplantae, Streptophyta, Magnoliopsida, Lamiales, Acanthaceae. The transcript has 2 exons. The record is from RefSeq and is a predicted model, not a curated record.